This 440-nucleotide ribosomal RNA is filed under the name uncultured bacterium. RNAcentral describes it as "partial 16S ribosomal RNA". It matches the Rfam family "Bacterial small subunit ribosomal RNA", at positions 338 to 795 of the family's 1533-position model. The record is from RNAcentral.
CCUACGGGUGGCAGCAGUGGGGAAUAUUGCACAAUGGGGGAAACCCUGAUGCAGCGACGCCGCGUGAGUGAAGAAGUAUCUCGGUAUGUAAAGCUCUAUCAGCAGGGAAGAAAAUGACGGUACCUAACUAAGAAGCCCCGGCUAACUACGUGCCAGCAGCCGCGGUAAUACGUAGGGGGAAAGCGUUAUCCGGAUUUACUGGGUGUAACGGGAGCGUAGACGGCGCUGCAAGUAGCGCGUGAAAGCCCAUGGCUUAACCUGGGUACUGCUCUGGAAACUGUGGCGCGUGAGUGCGGGAGAGGCAGGCGGAAUUCCAAGUGUAGCGGUGAAAUGCGUAGAGAUUAGGAGGAACACCGGCGGCGAAGGCGGCCUGCUGGACCGUAACUGACGUGGAGGCUCGAAAGCGUGGGGAGCAAACAGGAUUAGAUACCCCGGUAGUC